This 635-nucleotide ribosomal RNA is filed under the name Bacillus sp. 13550. Its description in RNAcentral is "bacterial SSU rRNA". It matches the Rfam family "Bacterial small subunit ribosomal RNA", at positions 68 to 686 of the family's 1533-position model. Lineage: Bacteria; Bacillati; Bacillota; Bacilli; Caryophanales; Bacillaceae. The record is from RNAcentral.
GGAAGAUGGGAGCUUGCUCCCUGAUGUUAGCGGCGGACGGGUGAGUAACACGUGGGUAACCUGCCUGUAAGACUGGGAUAACUCCGGGAAACCGGGGCUAAUACCGGAUGCUUGUUUGAACCGCAUGGUUCAAACAUAAAAGGUGGCUUCGGCUACCACUUACAGAUGGACCCGCGGCGCAUUAGCUAGUUGGUGAGGUAAUGGCUCACCAAGGCAACGAUGCGUAGCCGACCUGAGAGGGUGAUCGGCCACACUGGGACUGAGACACGGCCCAGACUCCUACGGGAGGCAGCAGUAGGGAAUCUUCCGCAAUGGACGAAAGUCUGACGGAGCAACGCCGCGUGAGUGAUGAAGGUUUUCGGAUCGUAAAGCUCUGUUGUUAGGGAAGAACAAGUGCCGUUCAAAUAGGGCGGCACCUUGACGGUACCUAACCAGAAAGCCACGGCUAACUACGUGCCAGCAGCCGCGGUAAUACGUAGGUGGCAAGCGUUGUCCGGAAUUAUUGGGCGUAAAGGGCUCGCAGGCGGUUUCUUAAGUCUGAUGUGAAAGCCCCCGGCUCAACCGGGGAGGGUCAUUGGAAACUGGGGAACUUGAGUGCAGAAGAGGAGAGUGGAAUUCCACGUGUAGCGGUGAAA